GAUGAACGCUGGCGGCGUGCCUAAUACAUGCAAGUCGAACGAGGUCUUCGGACCUAGUGGCGAACGGGGGAGUAACACGUUUGUACCUACCCCGAAGUGGGGAAUAACUGCCCGAAAGGGUGGCUAAUACCGCAUAAUACCGCAAGGUUAAAGCAGUAAUGGCUUCGGGAGGGGCCUGCGUCCCAUUAGCUAGUUGGUAGGGUAAUGGCCUACCAAGGCGACGAUGGGUAGCUGGAUCGAGAGGUUGACCAGCCACACUGGGACUGAGAUACGGCCCAGACUCCUACGGGAGGAAGCAGUAAGGAAUCUUCCACAAUGGACGAAAGUCUGAUGGAGCAACGCCGCGUGCAGGAUGACGGCCUUCGGGUUGUAAACUGCUUUUAUACGGGAAGAUUAUGACGGUACCGUAUGAAUAAGGACCGGCUAACUACGUGCCAGCCGCCGCCGUAA
Molecule: ribosomal RNA, 450 nt
Filed under: uncultured bacterium
Lineage: Bacteria
Description: partial 16S ribosomal RNA
Rfam family: Bacterial small subunit ribosomal RNA
Source: RNAcentral